UGUCCAGUAGCACCUUAGAGACCGACUAAGUUUGUUCUGGGUAUAAGCUUUCAUGUGCAUGCACACUUCUUCAGAUACACACAUCAGAUGAAGAAGUGUGCAUGCACACAAAAGCUUAUACCCAGAACAAACUUAGUUGGUCUCUAAGGUGCUACUGGACA
RNAcentral lists this microRNA precursor (161 nucleotides) under Podarcis lilfordi (Lilford's wall lizard). Lineage: Eukaryota; Metazoa; Chordata; Lepidosauria; Squamata; Lacertidae. The record is from RNAcentral.